This is a long non-coding RNA of Eupeodes corollae, 877 nucleotides long. RefSeq lists it as uncharacterized. The transcript is spliced from 2 exons. The record is from RefSeq and is a predicted model, not a curated record. Lineage: Eukaryota; Metazoa; Arthropoda; Insecta; Diptera; Syrphidae.
UUGGAAAACUGUUUACUGAUAGUUUUCAUCGAUAACUGCUUAACUGGUCCCUCAACCUAUAAUUAUAUCACCUCACUAAUUGCAUAGAUUUGUCAUAACUACAAGAUACAAAUCUGUCCAUAAUCCAACUUACACAUAUGGUAUUGAAAUUCGUAUCUACAUUCGUUUGGAUUGCGGAAAGCAAUGACAAAUUUUAUAAUUGUGCCGAGACACUUUUGCGGUUAGCGAUGCGCACUUUCCCAACACUAUCACUUAACUGUCAUUGUUUUACUUACAAGAAAUCCCCUAAGCGCUCUUAUUAAAACUUUAACUCUCUCGAUCUUGAUGUGGAUGCAAUCAGAGGGCAGUUAUAGCUAGCCUAACUUCAUAGAGCUUGAGUGGGAACAUGAAAAAACCUUUCAUUCAACAGACAUCAACAUACUAAGUUUCAAAGUGUCAAUCGCGCAUUCAACAAACACACCAAACAUCAACCAUCAUGAAGUUAUCUGUGGUCCUUUUGGUUAUUGCCAUUUUAUCGUGCAUCCUUGGCGAAAUUGGCUUAGCAGAAGCUACUAAGAAAAAAAGUGUGCAACGUGCAAGCAGCAGUAGACGUGGACAUGGAAAUGGCAAAGCUGCUCUAGUUAACCGGGUUUCCAAGAAGAAGAGCGGAAAAAAACAUGGAUAGGCUGUGAAAUUUAAUUUUUUUUGAAUUUUUAAUUGUUUUAAUUGUGUUUAAUCAACAAGUCAAUAUUUUAUUAGAAUAUUAUGUGUCCACAGUCAUUUUUAAGUCAAGAAAAAUCCGUUUCAACCGAAAAAAAAUUUGUUAUUAAUUAUUACAUAAUUUGAAACCUUGUUUUUCUAAUGAAUCAAUAAAUAUGCACUAAUUUUGUAUAUGGAA